GAGUUUGAUCGUGGCUCAGAUUGAACGCUGGCGGCAUGCCUUACACAUGCAAGUCGAACGGCAGCAUGAUCUAGCUUGCUAGAUUGAUGGCGAGUGGCGAACGGGUGGGUAAUACAUCGGAACGUGCCCUGUAGUGGGGGAUAACUAGUCGAAAGAUUAGCUAAUACCGCAUACGACCUGAGGGUGAAAGUGGGGGACCGCAAGGCCUCAUGCUAUAGGAGCGGCCGAUGUCUGAUUAGCUAGUUGGUGGGUAAAGGCCCACCAAGGCGACGAUCAGUAGCUGGUCUGAGAGGACGAUCAGCCACACUGGGACUGAGACACGGCCCAGACUCCUACGGGAGGCAGCAGUGGGGAAUUUUGGACAAUGGGCGAAAGCCUGAUCCAGCAAUGCCGCGUGUGUGAAGAAGGCCUCGGUUGUAAG
RNAcentral lists this ribosomal RNA (421 nucleotides) under uncultured microorganism. RNAcentral's name for it is "bacterial SSU rRNA". It matches the Rfam family "Bacterial small subunit ribosomal RNA", at positions 9 to 429 of the family's 1533-position model. The record is from RNAcentral.